GGGCCCGUGGCUCAGCCUGGUUAGAGCGUUCGCCUGAUAAGCGAAAGGUCCGGGGUUCAAAUCCCCGCGGGCCCA
RNAcentral lists this transfer RNA (75 nucleotides) under Archaeoglobus profundus. Its description in RNAcentral is "tRNA-Ile". It matches the Rfam family "tRNA". Rfam says of the family: Transfer RNA (tRNA) molecules are approximately 80 nucleotides in length. Their secondary structure includes four short double-helical elements and three loops (D, anti-codon, and T loops). Further hydrogen bonds mediate the characteristic L-shaped molecular structure. tRNAs have two regions of fundamental functional importance: the anti-codon, which is responsible for specific mRNA codon recognition, and the 3' end, to which the tRNAs corresponding amino acid is attached (by aminoacyl-tRNA synthetases). tRNAs cope with the degeneracy of the genetic code in two manners: having more than one tRNA (with a specific anti-codon) for a particular amino acid; and 'wobble' base-pairing, i.e. permitting non-standard base-pairing at the 3rd anti-codon position. RNAcentral also lists the same sequence under 1 other name. The record is from RNAcentral. Lineage: Archaea; Methanobacteriati; Methanobacteriota; Archaeoglobi; Archaeoglobales; Archaeoglobaceae.